GUGUCGCAGGGAAACCGAUAAACACACCGCCUGGGGGAGUACGACCGCAAGGUUAAAACUCAAAUGAAUUGACGGGGACCCGCACAAGUAGUGGAGCAUGUGGUUUAAUUCGAAGAUACGCGCAGAACCUUACCAACACUUGACAUGUUCGUCGCGACUCUAAGAGAUUAGAGUUUUCGGUUCGGCCGGACGAAACACAGGUGCUGCAUGGCUGUCGUCAGCUCGUGUCGUGAGAUGUUGGGUUAAGUCCCGCAACGAGCGCAACCCUCACUUUUAGUUGCCAUCAUUAAGUUGGGCACUCUGAAAGAACUGCCAGUGAUAAGCUGGAGGAAGGUGGGGAUGACGUCAAGUCCUCAUGGCCCUUACGUGUUGGGCUACACACGUGCUACAAUGGCAUCUACAACAGGAAGCAAAACGGCAACGUUAAGCAAAUCCCGAAAAGAUGCCUCAGUUCGGAUUGCACUCUGCAACUCGAGUGCAUGAAGCUGGAAUUACUAGUAAUCGUGGAUCAGCGUGCCACGGUGAAUGCGUUCCCGGGUCUUGUACACACCGCCCGUCACACCAUGGGAGUUGGUUCUACCUUAAGGCAAGGUUUUAAACCCUUGACCACGGUAUAGUCAGCAACUGGGGUGAAGUCGUAACAAGGUACC
RNAcentral lists this ribosomal RNA (650 nucleotides) under uncultured bacterium. Its description in RNAcentral is "bacterial SSU rRNA". It matches the Rfam family "Bacterial small subunit ribosomal RNA", at positions 843 to 1500 of the family's 1533-position model. The record is from RNAcentral.